GGCGCUCAUGAGUCUUGGUAUGGCGACUCGUUCGCUUCGAGUAGGUCCGGGGUUCGAUAUCCCGUAGCUCCACCA
Molecule: transfer RNA, 75 nt
Filed under: Mycobacterium koreense
Lineage: Bacteria; Bacillati; Actinomycetota; Actinomycetes; Mycobacteriales; Mycobacteriaceae
Description: Mycolicibacillus koreensis tRNA-Ala
Source: RNAcentral